This 23-nucleotide microRNA is filed under the name Mus musculus (house mouse). RNAcentral's name for it is "mmu-miR-7029-5p". Lineage: Eukaryota; Metazoa; Chordata; Mammalia; Rodentia; Muridae. The record is from miRBase by way of RNAcentral.
UCUGGACGCUCGGCUGCCAGCGC